CCCCACUGCUAUCGAGGUGGGACUAAGCCAUGCUAGUCGAACGAACUUUAUGUUAGUGGCACACUGCUCAGUAACACGUAGCUAACCUACCCUUAGGACGAGGACAACCCCGAGAAAUUGGGGCUAAUCCGCGAUAGGUGUGAUGUCCUGGAAUGGUAUCACGCCCAAAGGUGUUCGCACGCCUAAGGAUGGGGCUGCGGCCGAUCAGGCAGUUGGUGAGGUAACGGCUCACCAAACCUUUGACCGGUACGGGCCAUGAGAGUGGUAGCCCGGAGAUGGACACUGAGACAAGGGUCCAGGCCCUACGGGGCGCAGCAGGCGCGAAACCUCCUCAAUGCACACACGUACGAAGGGGUUACCUCGAGUGCCAUCUGAAGAAGGUGGCUUUUCCAUGGUCUAAAAAGCCUAGGGAAUAAGAGGGGGGCAAGACUGGUGUCAGCCGCCGCGGUAACACCAGCCCCUCGAGUGGUAGGGAUGAUUAUUUGGCCUAAAGCGUCCGUAGCCGGCCGGAUAAGUCUCCCGUUAAAUCCAGCGUCUCAAGCGUUGGACUGCGGGAGAUACUGUCUGGCUAGAGAGUGGGAGAGGUGUACGGUAUUCUGGGGGUAGGGGCGAAAUCCUUUGAUCCCCGGAGGACCACCAGUGGCGAAGGCUGUGCACUAGAACACGUCUGACGGCCAGGGACGAAAGCUGGGGUAGCGAACCGGAUUAGAUACCCGGGUAGUCCCAGCCGUAAACGAUGCACGCUAGGUGUUGGGUCGGCCACGAGCCGCCCCAGUGCCGCAGGGAAGCCAUUAAGCGUGCCGCCUGGGGAGUACGGCCGCAAGGCUGAAACUUAA
This 836-nucleotide ribosomal RNA is filed under the name uncultured archaeon. RNAcentral's name for it is "bacterial SSU rRNA". It matches the Rfam family "Archaeal small subunit ribosomal RNA", at positions 21 to 859 of the family's 1478-position model. The record is from RNAcentral.